This 396-nucleotide ribosomal RNA is filed under the name uncultured bacterium. RNAcentral's name for it is "partial 16S ribosomal RNA". It matches the Rfam family "Bacterial small subunit ribosomal RNA", at positions 523 to 918 of the family's 1533-position model. The record is from RNAcentral.
AUACGUAGGGGGCGAGCGUUGUCCGGAUUUACUGGGUGUAAAGGGCGAGUAGGCGGGCUUGCAAGUCAGAUGUGAAAUACCGAGGCUCAACUUCGGGGCUGCAUUUGAAACUGCGAGUCUUGAGUGAUGGAGAGGCAGGCGGAAUUCCCAGUGUAGCGGUAAAAUGCAUAGAUAUUGGGAAGAACACCAGUGGCGAAGGCGGCCUGCUGGACAUUAACUGACGCUGAGGAGCGAAAGUGUGGGGAGCAAACAGGAUUAGAUACCCUGGUAGUCCACACCGUAAACGAUGGAUACUAGGUGUGCGGGGACUGACCCCCUGCGUGCCGCAGUUAACACAAUAAGUAUCCCACCUGGGGAGUACGAUCGCAAGAUUGAAACUCAAAUGAAUUGACGGGG